GAUGAACGCUGGCGGCGUGCCUAAUACAUGCAAGUCGAGCGAACGGACGAGAAGCUUGCUUUUCUGAUGUUAGCGGCGGACGGGUGAGUAACACGUGGAUAACCUACCUAUAAGACUGGGAUAACUUCGGGAAACCGGAGCUAAUACCGGAUAAUAUUUUGAACCGCAUGGUUCAAAAGUGAAAGACGGUCUUGCUGUCACUUAUAGAUGGAUCCGCGCUGCAUUAGCUAGUUGGUAAGGUAACGGCUUACCAAGGCAACGAUGCAUAGCCGACCUGAGAGGGUGUACGCCCACACUGGAACUGAGCCGCGGCCAAACCUCCUAGGGGGGGCAGCAGAGGGGAAUCUUCCGCAAGGGGCGAAGGCCUGACGGAGCACCGCCGGGGGAGUGAUAAAGGUCUCCGGAUCUAAAAAUUCUUUUAUUGGGAAAAAACAUAUGUGAAAUUAACUGUGCACAUCUUGACGGUCCCUAAUCAGAAAGCCACGGCAAACUCCGUC
This 497-nucleotide ribosomal RNA is filed under the name uncultured bacterium. RNAcentral's name for it is "partial 16S ribosomal RNA". It matches the Rfam family "Bacterial small subunit ribosomal RNA", at positions 28 to 507 of the family's 1533-position model. The record is from RNAcentral.